GGAAUCUUAAAUUUGAGUAUUAGUCAAAGCUAGCAAUACAUAUUAAUUUCAAUUGCAUAAUUAUUCAUAAUUGUACAAACAUAGUGACGGCAUAGGCAUUUCAAACGCACCCAAAUCAUGAAAAUACAUAAGCAGCAGACAAAUUAAAAAUUAUUAGUAUAAAAAUUUUCAAGACCUAGUAUAAUACUAGUAUUAACUUAUAGCUUAGAUGCUGCAACAAAAUCCUUGACCUGGGAGAUCAAUUGGGAGGACUCUGCCAAUUCGGGGAAGAUGUAAAAAGCAUGAAUCAUAUUUGGAUAUUCUAUCAGACUUGCAUCUUUUCCGGAUCUCUUUAGCCAUUCGUAGUAUCUCCUCUGCCAAUCCUGUAAAGGGUCCCACCCGGCUACAAACACCAACGUUCUUGGAUAAUCCAGACCUGAAAUAUCCUCCGCAUUAGGUCCGCUCACGUUCACCGCGUAAUGGUCCCGAUUCAUCCCUUCCGGCAGAAACACCUUCCAACACCAAUCUGUUCGAGGAACCGAAACCAACAGCGACCCAGUCAGUCGGAUCUCCGACUCGGUUCUCUCCUCUCCUCCAAAAAACGGCUGUAUAGAUAUUAAUCCAACAACCUUAGCGACCCGAAAUCGUGUCCGGCAUGCCUUAACCGCCACGUGAUGAGCCAAGUUUGCCCCGGCACUAUCUCCAGCAAGGAAACAUUUUGAUAAAUCCGCAUUGGCUGGCAACGCCGUGGUGUGAUUCUCAUCAAGGAAUUUGAGGACGUCAAAACCGUCAUCAUAUUGACAAGGGAAGCAGUGUUCAGGGGUGAGACGGUAGUUGACGGAGAUUACGAUGGCAGGGAGUCUACGUGAGAAUCUGCGGCAAGCGAUGUCGUAAUAUCUGCUUGCAGCGCUAAGAAACGAAAAUCCUCCUCCAUGGAAGAAAAUCAUCACCGGGAGAACAUUGUUGCUGCCCUUAUCGUUAGGUAAGGAGUCAUCGUGAAGCAUAUUCGCGCAACAAGCUGCUGCUGCUGUCUCUGUUGUACUUCCGGUUGGGAAGUAUAGGCGAAACCAUAAGUUGCGGGUGCUGUCAACCAUGGUGUCGAAGGAGAUAACGGAACGGAUUGGUUUGGUGGGGGAAGGAGGUGACUUGAAGUCGAAGAAGUUGAGGAGACGGCGGUUUAUGGUGCGGUCGGAACGGCGGGUGGCAUCCGAAAAGGUUGAAAUGAGUGAGACGGUGAGACGUGUCUUCCAUGGAAGAGCUGGUUGUGUUGGUGCUGUUUCAGGGCUUGCUUUGCUGCCCAUUGCAGGCUCUGGUUUAAU
This 1298-nucleotide unclassified non-coding RNA is filed under the name Hevea brasiliensis (rubber tree). The record is from RNAcentral. Lineage: Eukaryota; Viridiplantae; Streptophyta; Magnoliopsida; Malpighiales; Euphorbiaceae.